CUAGCCUUGACAUAUAUUAGAACUCUGCAGAGAUGCGGGGGUGCCUUCGGGAGCUUUUAUACAGGUGCUGCACGGCUGUCGUCAGCUCGUGUCGUGAGAUGUUGGGUUAAGUCCCGCAACGAGCGCAACCCUCGUUCUUAGUUACUAACGGUUCGGCCGAGGACUCUAAGAAGACUGCCUUCGCAAGGAGGAGGAAGGUGAGGACGACGUCAAGUCAUCAUGGCCCUUACGGCUAGGGCAACACACGUGCUACAAUGGCCAGGACAAUGAGACGCAAUACCGCGAGGUGGAGCAAAUCUAUAAACCUGGUCUCAGUUCGGAUUGUAGUCUGCAACUCGACUACAUGAAGCUGGAAUCACUAGUAAUCGCAGAUCAGCAUGCUGCGGUGAAUACGUUCCC
This 399-nucleotide ribosomal RNA is filed under the name uncultured bacterium. Its description in RNAcentral is "bacterial SSU rRNA". It matches the Rfam family "Bacterial small subunit ribosomal RNA", at positions 975 to 1375 of the family's 1533-position model. The record is from RNAcentral.